RNAcentral lists this unclassified non-coding RNA (253 nucleotides) under uncultured Sphingomonadaceae bacterium. Its description in RNAcentral is "contains 16S-23S intergenic spacer region". It matches the Rfam family "Bacterial small subunit ribosomal RNA", at positions 524 to 776 of the family's 1533-position model. Lineage: Bacteria; Pseudomonadati; Pseudomonadota; Alphaproteobacteria; Sphingomonadales; Sphingomonadaceae. The record is from RNAcentral.
UACAGAGGGUGCGAGCGUUAAUCGGAUUUACUGGGCGUAAAGCGCGCGUAGGCGGUCCAUCAAGUCAGAGGUGAAAGCCCGGGGCUCAACCCCGGAACUGCCUUUGAAACUGGCGGACUAGAAUCUUGGAGAGGCGAGUGGAAUUCCGAGUGUAGAGGUGAAAUUCGUAGAUAUUCGGAAGAACACCAGUGGCGAAGGCGACUCGCUGGACAAGUAUUGACGCUGAGGUGCGAAAGCGUGGGGAGCAAACAGG